AUUGAACGCUGGCGGCAUGCCUUACACAUGCAAGUCGAACGGCAGCACGGGUGCUUGCACCUGGUGGCGAGUGGCGAACGGGUGAGUAAUACAUCGGAACAUGUCCUGUAGUGGGGGAUAGCCCGGCGAAAGCCGGAUUAAUACCGCAUACGAUCCACGGAUGAAAGCGGGGGACCUUCGGGCCUCGCGCUAUAGGGUUGGCCGAUGGCUGAUUAGCUAGUUGGUGGGGUAAAGGCCUACCAAGGCGACGAUCAGUAGCUGGUCUGAGAGGACGACCAGCCACACUGGGACUGAGACACGGCCCAGACUCCUACGGGAGGCAGCAGUGGGGAAUUUUGGACAAUGGGAGAAAGCCUGAUCCAGCAAUGCCGCGUGUGUGAAGAAGGCCUUCGGGUUGUAAAGCACUUUUGUCCGGAAAGAAAUCCUUGACUCUAAUACAGUCGGGGGAUGACGGUACCGGAAGAAUAAGCACCGGCUAACUACGUG
This 486-nucleotide ribosomal RNA is filed under the name uncultured bacterium. RNAcentral's name for it is "partial 16S ribosomal RNA". It matches the Rfam family "Bacterial small subunit ribosomal RNA", at positions 30 to 507 of the family's 1533-position model. The record is from RNAcentral.